Molecule: non-coding RNA, 9263 nt
Organism: Zonotrichia albicollis (white-throated sparrow)
Lineage: Eukaryota; Metazoa; Chordata; Aves; Passeriformes; Passerellidae
Source: RefSeq, a predicted model, not a curated record
GAAUUACAGCAUGAAUUCCGUGAAGCUUCUGGAUAUUGGCACUUUCCAAGAGUGAUGGAGAUGUGGGUCCCCUGGCAGAGAAAAAGCUCAGGCAAUUCUUGGGAACUAACAUAAAGCAGCAGAACCUGAAAAAGCCAGUCAUUCACUGGAAGGGGCCAGAUGGAAUGGGUCCUGUGGAAAGAUGAUGAUGUGUGCCAUCUGCUGGGACCCAGUGCUAGAACUUUCUGAGGUAAAGCUUGGUGGCCACAGAAACUGCCUGAAACUGCACCUUAUUAAAUCAAAGGACUGGGAAAAGAUUCUCUUGGAGACCUGUGUGCUGUUGCCUGCAUCUUCCUGGGAGCCUCUUUGCCUACGUGGGGAUAGAGGAAAUUCAGAAACCCACCACAAAGGUCUCUUCAUGAAACACAGGCCCCAAAGCAAUUCUCAACAGAGGAAAGACUUUGCUCUAGAGGCUGUCUUAUUCUUUUACAUCUGGCAGUGAAUAUUUUGGCUUGUACCAAAAGCAUUAAUCUUCUUUGCGCAACAUGGAUCAUCAGCUGAGAAAGGAAUUUACGGUAGCCUCUGGAGAAAGUUUUCUGUCAGUGACAAAAGGCAAAGCAGCUGGACAGACAGACUGUGCUAAGACCGUUUGCUAAGCUCUAACUUAACACUGUCUCCAUGACAGCCUUAGCUGGAGCAAAUGUUCAGGUCCUACUGCUCAAACAACAGUGAGCAAAGGCAGAAUGAAAUAACACAAUAAAAGCACCACAACUGCAAACCUGCAUUUUACUUCCUGUAAAAACUUAUACAAACCCUAUUUUGAAUUCUGUACUUGAUAAAGCUGGGACAGCUGUUCCAUCUGCAAAAUAAUUGGAUCGAAUAGGAAGAAGGAAAUUUUGCUGGAGUGAAAACUAGACUUGCAUUUUAGAGGCUGAAAAAUCUAAGUACCUCAAAAUACUGUAUUUAUCUCAGUUUCAAAACACAAUGAAUCAAACUGCUGACUUCAAUGCAUGCUUAUGCCACAGAAGGUACAGAAUUUCUACAUUAAUGAGGAAACUGGACUUUCAUAGAAGUAUAUAAAGAUGAGUUUAUACAGCCUACUGAGUCAGUGAUGCCUAACAUGAGAUAUAACACUGCUUACAAUAGUGAGACAAAUAUGUGAAACUUUGUGUUGGAUGGAGGAAUGAUCAAUGAGAAAGAAUGAUUGAGAGUCCACAUUAAAAUUUCAAAUCACCCCAGUUUAGAAAAAAGUUCAGGAAAUGUUCUGUCAAAGAGAAAAUCAGAAUGAGCACCCAUUACAUGGCAGAUAAACCAUCUCAAAGCAGGCAUUUUACUUAUUAUAACCCAUAUAGAGUUACAUCGAUCCCAUUAAAGUAUUUCAGAUAAUGUCUGCUGCUUCAUACACUGUACUGGUAUUUUAUUUUAGAGCAGCAGCUAUAUCCACUGGUUUGCAGGCAAGCUUAUUUUCCAGCUGCUGGUGGAAAAUAUUUCUGCUGAACCUCCUGGUGUUUUUCCAGGCAUCUUAUUGCUAAGGCUAAGCCAAAUGCAUACUAUCUACUACUUUGCCUUGCAUUUAGCUGAGCCAUUAAACAUAGUAUUACACUGUACUCUUGCAAACUUCACAGACUGAAGGAUUUAAGAUUAAAUGAUAGGCUUCUCUAGAAGCCUGAGAAAAUUCUUGUAGACACAUUGAAAACACUUAUUUUCAACAGUCAACUAAGUAUCAAGGCUACUUAAUGAUCAAAUCAAGAUCUGCAGACACCACAGCCUGCACACUCUUUCUUAGAAGAUUUUAAUCUUUGUCCUUGUCCUUCAGUGGAGUUUCUUUCCAGAGCAUCUUGGCUUAAUAAAUGCCUUUGAAGAAGGCUUCAGCACAAAUAAAAGAGUACUUGUGCAGCAAUCUUGAGUUCUUAUCAGCUGUAUAGUGAUCAGGUGAAGGAAUAAUUUAUUUCAAUCAGCAACACCUGUUUUUAUAAUUGCUCAAGUGAUUAUAAUUCAAUAAUAAAAAGCCAAUUUAACUAUCUUUACUCAGAUAUUAACCUCUGAUAUACAGCAUUAGAAUGAAAUUGCCAUUGGUUAAAUUCCCUUAACAAUUGCUUUCACACAUUUAUCCUAUUUUGGCCUGGUUUGUUUCAUAUUUCUCUUGUUAUUUGAGUUUUCUUUUAAGAAUAAAUAUGUUCACACAUUCUCAGUUGGAAGACCCCCACUGCUAUCCAUUUUCAACCAUAGCUAAAUAUGCUUAAUCUCUAAAAAGGUUCAAUUAUUUUAAUUUUUCUUCAUAGCUAUGUUUUUAUGAUUUGCCAUUUUAAGACCAGCAUUACAUUUUAGACACAUAAUUCAACUGGUGAUUUCCUAUAAUACCUAGAUCCAUUUCUGCAAACCCCUGCUUAGCCAGGUAUUCUCCCUCCAUUUUUUAAUGCUCUUUUCCUUCCCAAUCAAUAUAAAUACUUGUGGUUGUUCUAAAUGAACUGCAGCCAGUCUUUUUUUCUAGGCAUUCCUCCAUUUUGUCAAGAUUGUUUGUACUCCAAGCCUGCAUUUCUCCGUUUUUGCAGUAAUUCCCAGUUUUGUGUUGUGUGUUUUUUAAGUUUGCAGGCUCUCCAGUUCAUCUUCUAUAUCUCUAAUAAAAAUAUUGAAUACUAAGUGGUCCAAGAGAUAUUUACUGCAGAUCUGUUCUUAGCACAGCUCAUCAUUCUACCUACAAAAUUAAUAUUAACUACUUAACCACUAAGAAACCACAUUUCCUUCUUUUUCUUUUUGAGUGAGAUUUUUAUUCUGAAAACAUAAGCAAAGGUAAGUCUGUGAUUUCAUGCCACCACCACCUUCUCCCUUCAAUAAUUAAAUGAGGAAUCUGUAUUUUUCUGUUUCUGGCAUUUCCCUCUCUUCUUUGGGUUCUCAAAAAUAACAAAAAAUCUUUUUCUGACAGAUGCUUGACCCAGAGUAGUCCAGAGUGGAUGCUUUUUGGCUUAGCUGAUCUGAAAAUUAUCAAAUAUAUUCUGUCAAACCUGCUCUAGUAACCUGUUUUAGUCUUUGUAUCAGAUCUGUUAGCCAUUGGCUUGCAGCUGUGAAGAGUAAAGAAAAAAAAAGACACAAGAAAUGAAACAUGCUGCUGUUCUCAGUCUCAUUCACCCAUUUCAUUAAGUAUUCUCCAGCAAUCAGAGUGAAACUUUUCUGAUCAUCUGCUUUGCACUGAUAUAGUUCACAGAAAAUAUAACAAGACAUUACUCAUAUCUCACAUAGGCAUUUCUAAUUUUAACUGUAUGAACUUAAACUAUUUUUUUUAUGGUUACUCUUACUAACCUGACCUGGCUUCUACCUUCUCUAUGCUCUUUUUUUUUUUUAAAUCUCUUUAACUUUUGUUCUCAACACGAUGGAGAAUGAAGUCACUCAGCUUGGCCACCCAGUACUGAAAGGCAUACGGUGACAGCGUAUUUUCCUCCUUUUGUUUCGUGAUGAGAGACACCUUCAUGCUGACAAUGCAUCCAACCAGGAUUAGUGUUGUGUGAUCCUACAGGAAAAUCACAGUGUAGCCGAUUUGCUCUGGCACCAGCCGGGAGGGGAGGAGCCCGGCCCCGGGGACAUCCGCAUCUCCAUGGUGCCACCUUCUGACUGGCACGCAGGAGAGCCGGCUCCAGGGCUGGAGUAUCCAUGCUAGGGAAGGGGAUCGGCCCCUUGGGAGCACGUCGGGCUGAGGAUGGGGAGAUGUGGGUGUGAGGGUUAAAAAGGGAGCCCUUGGGAGCACGAUCUGGCAUGCAUGCAGUGUUCUGUGUGCUGCAAACAGAACAAUCUGAGGGGUCUUCCAGCCUACUGGGCUCUAAGGCUCAAGCACUCUGCAAGUGCUGGUUGUCUAGUUUUUGUCGUGUUUGAAUUACCAGAAAUGAAAGAACUAUCUGGAAAGUGAAUAUUUUAAAAUAUUUUAAUUUUUUUUUCACAGGGGAAAAAAAAAAGCCCACCUCUUUUCAUAUCAGUUCCAGGUUAAUUUACAGUAUUAUGACAGCAGGACUAAUAGACUAAAUUAUCACUAAUAGUUUUAUUUUUAAUGGGUGGAGAAAUGGUAGAGUUGAUAUUGAAGACUGUCCCAGUGACUUACCACAGCUCCCAAGCACCUUAUACAGAGAUGAAAGCAGACACACCUCACUCUUUCAUCAGUAUGAAAUGUAUGUCUUGUGCUCUUGGCUUAAUUUCUUUGUCCCUUUUCUCUUUUUAUUUCCAUUUAUUUAACCUUACUUAUAAGUCCACAGGAGACUGCAGACCUGGGAUGUAUAUUACACACUGACUCAAAUCCUUCCUUGGUACAUGAGUCCUAGGAAGGGAAAUACCACAAAUACCUACUGACACAGGUAUUGGAAACUAGGAGAGUCUAUUAAUUUUUCUUACAUGGUGGAGUGCUCCUCUACAUACCUGACCAAAUGGGACUCAGAAAUAGGGCCCUGCCCAUUAAUGGGUUCUCUUGCUUAUUGAUGACUCAAAACUUAAAGGCAGCUAUGCUGAAGAUGUAUAAGGAAAAUAUAACCUGUCUCAGUCUACCUUGACAUCUAAUACUCCUCAAAUGUUAGAGUUACUGGACUAACUUUAGGAAAAAACAUUAGGGUAUUAUACCUCUAUCACGUCUAAUGUUUUGCUGAGAAGCUUAAAAAUAAUUGAAAGUAUAAAAAUGAACAGAUAUGUCCAUAAGAUAGCAUGGGGAAAAGAAUUUCAUGGAAGUUACUUUUCAGAGAAACUGUUCCUCUUCAUAGUGGGGCUUUCUUAACUCUUCUGAAAUGAAUUAAAGAAUAUUUGAAUUACAAAGCUGAAUGAAUUAAAGAAAAAUUCCUCACAUUGUAUGCUGUAAAAGAUAAUUUUCCUCUGACCUUUCUCUUAUAAAGUUUAGUUACAAAUGGCUUGCUUUGAGAAGCUGAUACCUGAUACUCUAGAUGUCAAUUGUUUUGUUUUGUUCUGACGUUUCAAAUAAUUGUGUAUUGUUGCCCAUUCUGAGGGUGUAAUGCUUACAAGGCACAAGGCUUAAAGAAACCAGGGGGCUUGGGCUCUCUGUCCAACAAAACAGUGCUGCAGGGAGAGCAGCCUAGCAGUAAGCAGCCUUGGCAAAUUCUAGGAAAUUAAAGCUAUUCAAGAGGCUUUUCUUUUUGUUCGUUUGCCUAGUUUUAAAAUGAUAUUCUCAGUGGAGAUAUCUGGAACACUGCCUGUUUGCAUCUACAUGAGGCAAAAAUUCUGUCAUAUUAUUUCAACAGAGCUGAAUCUGAUUGAACAGGAAAGGUACUCUUUGGUGUAUGACUUAAUGAAAUAUAUUUGUUUUUUGUGGCUAUGUCUAUAUUGUCUUCCCCUCCAUAGAGAGCUGUCCAAAGCUGCCAUUUUGGGAAUAUUGCAACACAUUAUUUUGGAGCACAUAAAGAAUAUAUUUUCUAUCCUAUGGCAUUGUGGGGUUUUUUUUGUUGUUUUCUCAAGGUCAGUUGCUAACUUUGCUCAGUAAUAGAUCAGUGAAAGUGCAUGAACAGGGUGCAUAGCAAAACAUUCCAGCACAGUUUACUUACAUAAGGUUUCUUUGUCCUACAGUCAAUCUGUAAAGAAAGAGAAUAUGGCUCAUUAUGAAGGUAAAUAGAGAUGAUUUCGUGGUUCCCAAAAAUAUGAUUUUUACAAUGCGUGUUUUUUUUCUUGAAGAGAGUGCCAAGGUCUUCGGCAAAAAUACAUUUGUAAGCUUCUCUUAAAGAAUAAGUAAAGAAAUCAACCCAGAAAUACUGUUGUUUCUGUUCAAAAACUUGCUGAGUUUUCCAGGUCACAGAAGACCAUUUCCUGUCAGUACAAGAAGAGAGCAAAACCACUGAUUUGUUUAUGGGUGAAUAAAAAUACUAUGGCUGUAAAGUGCUUUGCUUGUGGCGAGGGGGAGAAUGGGGGAAGUCCAGGAGUUGCUGGGGAUUUUUUCUCCUUCUGAAAUAAAAUCAUGGUACUUAUGUUCUUGUUUCACCAGCAAGUAGCUGCCUUUAGUAGACCUUCAGGUUUUGGAAUAAAAUCCUGCUUUAAUAACUGUUACUUGUCCACAGUAACAAAGCCCGUUCCAGAAGCAAUUAUUUAUAACCAGACUUAGACUUCAUUUGCUGAGGACUGAGCUGUCUCUUUGACUUCCCUAACGAGAGAAAACAUAAAAUCUUGAGCUUCAGAUUCCUUCACAUGCAGAUUAGGGGACAAUUGUCACCUUUGGGAUUUGCAGAUGGCUCCUGGGAAAGACCAAGUGCUUUGGUUUUAGGAAGCUGCGUUUCCCGGUUUUAAGAAGCUUCACAGUUUUCAUCUGUUGAUGGAGGGAGAGUAGAAAUCAGCUGGCUGUAUGGGUAUGCCUGGAACCUUUCCUUUUCCCAUCACAUAUAGGAUACUGGUUUAGUUGUGUACAUUUUGGAAGGACUAGACCUGCUUGAUAAUAUGUCCCUGUAAAAAUCAAAGUAAAAUAUACUGGUCCUAAAUAGGGCAUUGAUAUAGCAAUUGUAAUCUGAAAUAAGACAUCAGUCUGAGUCAGUUUGUGAGGUUUUGUGCAUGAAUUAAAAAGAAACAAAAAAAGCUGAGAUCCAGGAAUGAUUAAUGGAAGUUAAUCCAGAAAUGUUGCCUUGCAGCAUUCGAAGCAAGAAGAGAGGACUGAUUCAGCCUCUGCAGUUUUGUAUGCAAAUUGCUCUUGCAAAGGAAGGGAGAUUGCUUUUGACAACUUGACUCUAGCAGUGCUGCAAGGCACCUAGAAUGGUCCUACUUUCUAUUUCCUUAUAUUCCUUGAGGUGUUGAUAAUGAAAGACUCAUGCCCAAACUGAAUGCAGCUCAUGUUGACAGAGACAGCAAAUACACAUGGUAGCUUUCAAAUUUCUCUGUCAAAUCGUUUGACUUUUUUUCAUGCCUUUUCCAUAGGGCAAACUGUGAAACAACAUAUAAUUUCUGUCACCUGAGAUUUCAGCAGUGAGGUUACAAAAAAUGUGCAAGUCUCCAGAAAAACAUUAAAAAAAUGGUGUUUGAAUGAUCUUUGAACUCUCUUUAAGCUUCAAAGGAACUGCCACACUUUCUCUGUAACCUCAGUAAUUGCUGAUUAAAAAAAAUAAAAAAGCAGAUUUGAGAAAGAAAUCAUGCAAUCUAGAAACAUACUUUCCAUCUGUGUAUUGCGGCUGAAAUCCAAAAUAGGCCAGCUGGUCAUAGCACAGCUCACAUAUUCACAGUAUCUGUCCUCUGAAUAAGUCAUUUCAUCAUAAACAGUGGAAAGUAAAAAGCAGAGUCUUAGCUUCUCUGAUUUUUUCCCCCUCUAUUUGACACUCAAAGGACUGGCAGAUACUAAAAGAUUCCUCUCUGAUGUUAAAUUUGAUAUUGUCAUUGCAUUUUAUUUGCUGCUCAAAUAUGUCUUUUUAAAACUGUGUGAUCCAGGAUGUGGAGUGGAAUGUUUGUUGUGGCAAAUGCCUCUCUUCAUUGGAGCAGUUUGGUCUGGCACUGCUCCCAGUUGCUGUAGAUUUAGCAAGUAAGUUGUGCACAAAUCCUUGAUUUUUGUUCUUGCUUUUUGUGGCACUCUUCAUCUUAAGAACUCCUGCAGUUUUUGGAACUAGGAUGUAGUGUCUUUCAGUACCUACAUUUUAUAUCUAAUCAACAGGAACUGAUCCUAGCAAACUAGAAAAUCCUCCUUAAGCAAUGGGAAAUCUCUCCUUUAUUUCCCUCCUCAUUAUUGAUUUUGCUAUGGGGAGCAGACACUGUGCUCAGGUGUUGCAACCUUCCCUGCUCCUUCCCUGGGCUGGGAUGGUUUGAACCGGUGAUUUUCACUCUGUGCUGAAGGCUUUUAGAUAAAAAAAUAGAGAUGAUGUGUCAGGUGGGGGAGGAGGGAUGAAAGGUAAAAACUGUUGUAGUACUGCAGGAUCAUAAAAGGGAAGUUAGUCACAGUAGUUUUUUGAAGAGAUCUAAAUCAGUUUUGACCAGACACAAUGGAUAGAGAGUCAGUGACCAAGCUCUAUCUGAAAUAUAACCAGUCAAGGAAAAUUACGCCUGAACUUAGAUUCUGAUGCAUAACCAUUUUUUCUGAUUUUACAUUCUUCAAGUGUGAAUCAUCUGGACAUACUGUGUUUAAAGUGCUUUCUCUACCUAAUGGCCAAACUUUUGGCUACUUCAGUGACGAAAAGCAUGAAGCUGCAGUCUGCAGCAAAUGGAUAUUAGGUUGGGAGUGGGAACAUAUGCAAAAGAAUGCCUACUUUCACAAAAGUAAUCAAACCUUACUGCAUGUAUAGUGCACUUUCCAUGCACCCAUACUACAGCUCCAUGCCUAAAUAACUACAGGCACAGCCUUACCCUGGGCUCUCAGAAGAACACUAUUAUGCUUUGUAAUUGCACCUGUGUGUUUAUAGGAUUCCUUCUGCUCAUUAAAAAUGGUGUUCACUCUAAUUGUAUGGCCUUUUCUGUACUCUAUAAAGGACAUCAACUUGUUCCAUUAACUUUUUUUUCCCUUUUAAUAAGAGAAUGUCUCCUUCAGUGAUUAAUUGCAAAAAUGCAUUUAUUUGAUGCAGAUUUACUGGCAUUACAGAAUCACUUAGGAAGAGCAGAACCUCUGGAGGUCUCUAGUCCAAUAUCCAACUUUAGCAGGACUGUCUCCAAAAAUAGAGCAGGUUGUUUAGGGCCUUGUCUAGUGAGUAUUGGAAUAUCUCCAAGGAUUAGGGUUCUGCAUCCUUUCUAGGCUACUUGAUCCUGUGCUUGACUCUUCUCACCAUGCAGACUUUUUUUUCUUAAAUCUACUUGAGAUUUCCCUUGUUGCAACUGGUGUCCAUUGCUUUUUGUCUCAUUACUAUGCAUCUUCAAAAAGAGUCUGUUUUCUCUAUAACAACCCAUUACUUAUUUCUGCUGCAAUUGUUUACAGAGCUGCAUGAAUGGCUGCUGAAGAGAGACAGAUACUCUGAAAAGCUGUCAGCCUGAAGUAAAUAAAAUCAGAACCUGAUGGGCAGAGGCUUCUGCAGGUCAAGAAAGAGGUCCAGCUGGUCUGAGCAGCCAAAUGAAGUGCUGAUGGUCUUACCUGGGAAUCCAAAAAUAAGGGUGGUAUAACUACCAAAAUGCUUCUCUAUGGCUCUGCUUGCUCACAAUUAGACAAAAUAUCCCCUAGUACUUGUUGUGUGAGAAUUGUCUCACUAGAGCACAUAGUAUUUUUUCCAAAAGGUAGCAAAUGGUAGCUUGGAAAAACUUGGUCCUUAAUGAACCCUCAAGGCUCGUUAUGAACCUUCAUAAUGAAGGUCUUACUGGGAGGCUAGAAGGGCUCCUUCUCCUCUGUGUGGUUUUGGGUGGGUUUUUCCUUAGUGAAA